GGGGGGGGGUGAUUUGUGUGGUACCUAAUUUUUGCAUUAGAAGAACCCAGUUCUUCUAAGUGAUCUAACUACAGUAGUUUGCAGAAUAAUAAGUACUGAAAGUAAAGUGCACAUAUAUUUUUACGUGAAAAACACCUAGCUCAAAAGGUAAAAAAACCAAGACCUUCUACUUAGCAGGAUUUUCCGAAACUCCACUAAAAUCACUGAGCCAUAAACUGCAUGUACAAAACUCUUUGUAAACCUAAGGAUUAACUCUAAUCCCAGUGUGGCACACAGCCUCAACUGUCAGGACAUUUACUAAAAUCACUGAACCAUAACACCAUUUACAAAACUCUUGUAAACCUAAGGAUUAACUCUAAUCCCAGUGUGGCACACGGCCUCAACUGCUACGACACCUUCAAGUUAACUCUAACUUGAAUACUCAAAGUACCUAAUACAAUUGCUUCUAAGAAAGCUGAAAGGUACAAUUUUAAAACCUACUACUAUUGAACUAGACUUAGAACAAACACAAUGAUGAAACUGGAUCUUCUAUCUUAGUUCAUGUAGCUUCACACGCGCACAUUUGUAUCUCGCAUAUAUUGUUUGCAAAUCAGACUUGCUCUUUCUGCUCUCAAAUAUAAUUAACUUCUGCGUAUGUGCAUUACCUGUAAAAGAGAACACUUUGGUUAUUUAAUAUAUUAAAAGUUAGAGUUUGAUUGAUUCUCCAAUGCUUAUCCUUAGUCGAUUUGAGUCCUUAACCAAUAUAAACUCCCAUCCUUAGCGUGGCUUAGGAUUGUGUUCUCUUAUCAUAAGGAGACUGUCCUCCUUAGAACUCAAUGCAACCUUUUCGAUUCCGUUCAGAAGAUAUUUGCUUUUCAAUCUUUAAUACAUAUCUUCCUCACGUGCCUUCCAUCUGCCAUGGCUAUGACUAACUGCAUUUCCCAAAAUGGACCAGGUCCUUCCCUGUGUUUAUUUGUCAAUCUUCAAAACUUCAACUGAACUUGGGCCAACACAUACUUUCUAUUCAUUGUUGAUUUUAAACCUUUUUAUAGACGUGAUAAAAAUGCAUGUCUUAUAGACAUGAUAUAUAGAUGUUGAAUUUCAUUUAAGGCCCUUGAACAUGAUAUCUAAUUGCGGUUGAUUGAUUAAGACCUAUGAACAUGAUUGCUAGAUGAAAAAUGAAUAUACAAGAUUCACAAAGAACUAUAUGCAUAUUUUCUAUAUGCAUAUGCAGAAUUUAGAAAUACCUAUAGAAAUGGUAUCUAUAUGAGAAAUGCAGAAUUCAGAAAUACCAUUAAGCAGGAUAUCUAUGUGAGAAAUGCACAAUUUCAGAAAUAUCUAUAAGCAUGAAGGAUAUCUAUGUCAGAAAUACAGAAUGUCAGAAAUACCUAUGGGUAGGAUAUCUAUGUGAGAAUGUAGAAUUUCAGAAAUACCUAUAGGGCAUGAUAUCUAUGUGAGAAAUGCAGGAUUUCGGAAAUACUUAUAGGUAGGAUAUCUACCCCUUUUUGCAUACACAAUUACCCGCCCUUUUAACUAGCCAUCCCCAAGAGUUUAUUACAGAUUAUUACAAACCAGAAUAAAGUAAAAGAAUACAUCAAAAAUUAAAAGUACAACCAAGGAGAGCCUGAUUCAGACUUCCUGUCUAAAAUAUGAAUUAAACCAACUUCCAAGAGGUCAUGAUCCAAAGCCUUUAUCCUAUUUGGAUGUGUCAAAGUUCCCUAAGAUCCUAAAAGGGGACUUCGGGCGAUGAUGACACCCCCUACAUUAUCAGGUUAGGACAAGUUCAGUGUGGAAAGUUCCUCAAGUGUCUAAGUUCAGAUGGAGCUCAAAGGGUCCCAAGGAAAUGUUCAUAAGAGGGGCAGAAUAUAAAGAUUAAGAGAAUGUGAAAGCGCAGAAACAUAAUUCUAAAUGGGGGAAUUGAAAGAGGAACAACUGCAGAUAAGAACACAUAAGGGGUUAAGGGGGGAUAGGAAAAUUAAAAGAGGCAAGAGCAGGCCAUGUGGAUACCCACCAGGGGAGAAUGCUAGUACACCCAUGAGCCUGUUAGAACACGCUAUUAGAGGCUGGGAUCCCAAGGGAUCAAGCUUAAUUCAUGGACAAUAAUUUACAUAUUUCCAUGCCUUAAGCCAUAGCUCAAACACAUAGGGGCCAGAGGUUUGGGAUUCAUAAUAGAAGAAGCAGAAAGAGAUUAGCAUACUAAUGUAAGUGUUGAAUUAUGCAGAAUAAAGUAAGUAGACAUAGAUAAAAAGGAUGUAAUUAAACAACAUUGUUGUGGCGCUGAAACUUAAAUGAGGACAUACCAGUUUCAAAGAAACAAAUAGAGAAAAGUAAUAGGUCUUGUAAACAAGCCACAAUGCAGACAAGAAGACAAAAUAUUAUUGCGUAUAAGUGUACGUUUUAGAAAUAUUAAGAAUGAGUCCUUGAGUUUGUGAAAGAGUCGUGCAAAUAUAGUGUGAAAAUCAGGCAGAAAUAAGGUAAGAAAACAGUGAAGGAACUGAUUAUCAAUUCAGAAUUAAUUACGCAAGGCUUCCUUUAAUUAAGGAAUUAAGAUUCAAACGGUAAAAGUUAUCUACGAAAAGAAAUCAAACAAGAUUUUUGUGCAAAGUAGGUAAUUUGGGGUAAAUACAUAAAAAGUUACUUAAAGACAUAAUUUUAAAAUACGCAGUUUUACAAAUAAGGUAAGAAAAUCAAUUAGGAGCAAGUAAAUCAAAGGUCAGAGUUUUGGUAAUUACUGGUCCAUGAAUGAACCAAGAUAGAAAUGCAGAGAAAUUUUUUUAACUUAAGUCGAGUCAUAGGGAAAUCAGUGAACAAGGAAAGAAAUCAAUCAGACCUAUUUAGAAGGAAUUCUGAAAUAAUCGCAAAUUUGAAAGCCAUUUUAGCGGAAAAUUCAACACAUAUAAAUAGCAUAUAAACAUGUUAAGCUGAAAGAAGAUGUCGCGUCAUUGUAAAAUUAGUAGACAAUAGACUACAGGAGCAUGUUUUCACAUCGGUUAGCUGUGUAGAAGAGAAGUAACAUCUAGUAGGAUACAAAAGAUCCAGUGUAAAAGACCUUAGAAGAGUCUAGCAAAAGUCAGAAUCAUAUGAAAAACAAGAAUUUCAAAACGCAGUUCACAGACUCGAAUUGGGUUGAAACUGUUAGGGUUUUGAAAUAAAAUCACUUCAAGAAAAUCACAUAGUCAAUGGUUUCUAAACUUGGAGGUACCCCCAAAUUCUAGAGUUUCUACUAUCAAUAGCAUGCAGAGAUGAGGGGACAAAUAAUUAUGUCAAAAAAACGUUCAGAGGUCUCAGAAAGAACUGAAACCUUUAACAUGUUCCUUCUAGCAACAAAAACUCAUGAGAAACAUGGUAGAAGAGUAACAAGGGAAAUACAGUAGAAGAGUUCAAAGAAAACAUAGUAGACGAAACUAAUACGAAACAUAGUGAAAAAAUUGAUAAGAACAGUAGGAGAAGCAUAUUAAGAAGUAUUAGAAGAAACUUAACAAGAACACAAUAGAGAAAAAUACAAUAGAAAAAACACACAAGAACGCAGUAGCGGAAAAUACACAAGAACACAGUAGAGGACAAAAUACAAGAAUACAAUAGAGGCAAAUACAGUAGAAGAAACACGAAAAAGAAAGAGAAAAUCAGAAAAACAUCUCAAUGUCUCAGAAAAAACCUAGAUCAGAAAAAGAAAUGGUUUUAAAAGUAUAGUUUUUUAAAAGAAAAAUCUAGAAAAUUGUUUAAUAACUUUUAGAAAGCAUAGAUUUUGAACAGAUCUAAAGAGAUCAUAAAAACCUCAAACAUAGGGUUUUCAGAGGAACCCAAAUGGUGAGAAGGCUUGGAUCUAAGCAGGAUGAGUCGAGGCCAGGACCGAAAUUGGCAUGGCUUUCCGGAGUAGGCCGGAGAUGGCUGUAGAACUUGAAUCAACAAAGGUCUGGACCAAUCUUCGUAGUCGAGUCAUGAAAGCUUCAGUUUACCAGACGUGAGGAGCCAUAGGUGGCUUAAUGUGUGGUGAAACCACCAUGAAUUUAGGUCAGAAGGUGGAAGGAGAAGAUGAACAGAACUCAUCGGAGAGGAGGGGAGGGGGAAUGUUCUAGAGAGAAUUAGAAGUAGAGAGAUAAAG
Molecule: long non-coding RNA, 4081 nt
Filed under: Nicotiana benthamiana
Lineage: Eukaryota; Viridiplantae; Streptophyta; Magnoliopsida; Solanales; Solanaceae
Description: long non-coding RNA (NBEN_LNC034657)
Source: RNAcentral